RNAcentral lists this ribosomal RNA (242 nucleotides) under uncultured Planctomycetales bacterium. RNAcentral's name for it is "partial 16S ribosomal RNA". It matches the Rfam family "Bacterial small subunit ribosomal RNA", at positions 439 to 672 of the family's 1533-position model. Lineage: Bacteria; Pseudomonadati; Planctomycetota; Planctomycetia; Planctomycetales. The record is from RNAcentral.
GGAGUUAGGAAAUGUAGGUGCGAUAAUACCGUGCUUAUUUGACAAAGGCUCCAGAGGAAGCCACGGCUAACUCUGUGCCAGCAGCCGCGGUAAUACAGAGGUGGCAAGCGUUGUUCGGAAUUAUUGGGCGUAAAGAGCACGUAGGUGGAUUUGUUAGUCAGAUGUGAAAGCCUUUCGUUCAACGGAAGAAUUGCAUCUGAAACUACAAACCCUGAGUAUAGGAGGGGAGAGUGGAACUUCUG